UCUUGUCUCAGCUAUGAAGUGACAUCGACAAAGUUUACACGUGAUUUAUAUAAAGAAUUGCUCAUAUCAUUGGUUGCCAGUUUAUUUAUGGGAUUUGGAGUGUUGUUUCUCUGUCUGUGGGUUGGAAUAUAUGUAUAGCAUUAACUGAUUUUGUUAUACAUAUGAUGCAUGCAAGAUGAAUUCUUGUUCCCGAGAAGUCCAUCGAAGAUAAUGAAAUCAUGAUACAAUUUAAAUAGGCAUGCAUCAUUGUUUUGUUUUUUAUUUUACGAAAUUCUAACAUGUGCAAAAGAAAACAUUUUAUUGAAAUAAAUUUAUCCACAAGUAUUUGUCGG
This is a long non-coding RNA of Saccoglossus kowalevskii, 332 nucleotides long. Lineage: Eukaryota; Metazoa; Hemichordata; Enteropneusta; Harrimaniidae. The record is from RefSeq and is a predicted model, not a curated record.